CUCAGAGGUUAUUGGGUUCUCUGCUCUGGCUCAGCAAUGUGAAAGUCAUCUUAUGAACCUCUGACAUUUGAUGAUCAUUAUGUCAAAAGCCUUUCGGGCUCACAUGAAAGGUAUAUAGAUGGAGAAAAGCACCAGAAAGUAGAGCAAUACAGGAUUUUAAAAAAACCACAACCAACCAAACAGGAGAUCCUGGAUGAAGCUUUCUCAACAUGAGAGGUACAGCAUUUAUCCUGUGUCAUGUAGACUGUUCUCUGCUUUGUCUGUCCUUUUUGGGUGCAUCUUAUCAUCAGUUCUGUGUGGGCCUGACUCCUGUUGUUGGCUUAUUGUGUGGUUACUUCUUAGGUUGUUAUCUGCCUUUCUGCUUGUUGCCUUCCAGUUCCUCUGUUAACAACUGACCAAAAAUAUUCCCUCAUUUCAGUAGGUGGCUAUAGCUCUAAUAGACAGUUCAUGCAUUCAUAGCAACAGUGCUCCUCUUUACUCAGUUUAAUUAUUUAUUGCAGAAGAGUGCAACUUUUUCAUAUUCCCCUAAACUGCCAAACAAAAAAAAAAAAAAAUCCAUUAAAAUUCCAUAAAAUCAGGGUGGAUUGAUUCCUUUCGAUA
Long non-coding RNA from Cinclus cinclus, 600 nucleotides. RefSeq lists it as uncharacterized. Lineage: Eukaryota; Metazoa; Chordata; Aves; Passeriformes; Cinclidae. The transcript has 3 exons. The record is from RefSeq and is a predicted model, not a curated record.